UGGGGGAUAUUGCACAAUGGGCGAAAGCCUGAUGCAGCGACGCCGCGUGGGGGAUGAAGGCCUUCGGGUUGUAAACUUCUUUUGCUCUGAACAAGGCAUGCUAAUGGGUGUGUUGAGUGUAGGGGUUGAUUAGCGCCGGCUAACUACGUGCCAGCAGCCGCGGUAAUACGUAGGGCGCGAGCGUUGUCCGGAAUUAUUGGGCGUAAAGGGCUUGUAGGUGGCUGGUUGCGUCUGUCGUGAAAGCUCAUGGCUUAACUGUGGGUUUGCGGUGGGUACGGGCUGGCUUGAGUGCAGUAGGGGAGGCUGGAAUUCCUGGUGUAGCGGUGGAAUGCGCAGAUAUCAGGAGGAAUACCGGUGGCGAAGGCGGGUCUCUGGGCUGUUACUGACACUGAGGAGCGAAAGCAUGGGGAGUGAACAGG
RNAcentral lists this ribosomal RNA (419 nucleotides) under bacterium. RNAcentral describes it as "partial 16S ribosomal RNA". It matches the Rfam family "Bacterial small subunit ribosomal RNA", at positions 355 to 776 of the family's 1533-position model. The record is from RNAcentral.